RNAcentral lists this long non-coding RNA (1591 nucleotides) under Homo sapiens (human). RNAcentral's name for it is "HSALNT0237131". Lineage: Eukaryota; Metazoa; Chordata; Mammalia; Primates; Hominidae. The record is from RNAcentral.
UGGCCCUACCUGAUUUUUUUUAACUUUUUACAAGGAGAUUGUAUUCACAUGUGUUAACUAUGUAACUUCAAGUUCAGCAUAUAAGCUCAGGUAAGCUUUUUCUAUUCACCCUGCUGUGUAAAUGAGCUUUGGACAAUUUCUGCUCAGAACACCUAUACUUGGAUUUUUAUAGGCUUGUAUUCCCAUUUUGUAAACAAAAUUACCAAUAGUUAUUUCACGGGUAAGCGUGUGGCACUCCCAUCCCUGUAAGAAGGGCCUCCAGAAAAGUCAUGUAGUCCUCUUGGGAUUCAUAGGACCAAGUGGCAGUGCAGCCAUGUGCCACCUGGCCUGGUCUGUUUGGGCCACCAGCCAUUGCUGUGUGAAGCUACAGCAGGUAAAUAAAUUUACACUGACUCCCUUUAUACACUAAUGGGACAUGUUUAACACCGUUUUCAUAUAUGCUAAGGCUUAUGUGUAGAAACAUUAGAUGGCAAAUGGGGACUAUUCAGGUGUGGAGAAAGUUUGAUUCAGGGCCUAAACAACUAUAAGAAAUAAGCAUGCCUGUUGAAUACAUGGGCACUAUAGGGAUAUAAAGGAGUGUUAGCUUUCUAUGGCUGCUGUAACAAAUUCCCACAAACCUGGCGACUUAAACCAACAUAUACUUGUUCUCUUGCAGUUCUGGAGGUCAGAAGUCUGAAAUCAUUUCCACUUGGCUGAAACCAAGGUGUUGGCAUGGCCAUGCUCCCUGAGGAGGGUCUAGGACGAAUCCUUUUCCAGCCUCCAGAGCUGUACUUCUUGCAUUCUGUGGCUCAUGGCCCCUUCUUCUGUCUUCAAAGCCAGCAGUGUAGCAUCUUCAAAUCUUUCUUUACUGUCGUAUCAUAUUCUCUGCUGUCUGUAGUCAGAUCUACUUCAGCCUUCGUCUUGCAAGGACACUUGUGGUAACAUUCAGGGCCCAACCAGAUAAUCCAGGUAACCCCCAUCUCAGGGUGGGUUAAUCACAUCUGCAAAAUUUAUUUUGUGAUAUAAGGUAACAUAUAUCCAGGGAUUAGGACAUGUAUCUCUCUGAGGGCCACUGUUCAGCUGACCACAGAGGUGACUAUAAUGUACUCUUGCACUCAUAGACCUUACCAUGAAUUAGACAGACAUCCAUGAUUCAAGUGUGUGAAAUUUGCUGUCACACAAAGAAAGGACUGAGGGAACAUGGAGGAUGAAUUUAAUUUUGUUCGAAGGGAUUGGGGAUGACAUGCAAAAUGAAGAAAAAUGGCUUGAAUAAGUGGGGAAGAGUAUAUCAAGUAAAAUAGCAAAAGCAGAGGCAUUGAAGGAUAUGCCAAAGUCAGACAUGGCAAGUCAUGCUGUGACGAUUCACCAGAAAGGUGCCGGGCUGGGAGAAGGGGGAUGUGGCAAGAAAUAUGGCAGAAAAGGACAGGCUGGGGCCAUAUUAUGGAGAGCCUUGAAUGAUGAGCCAAGAGUUAGAAUUUAACUUGCCAGAUAGUGUGGAGCCCUUAGGGCUUUCUGAGCUGGGGAAUACGUGAUUAGAUUUGUGUGAAAUAGAGAAAAAUGGAAGAAAAAUGUGAAGGUGUGAAAGAUUUUAAUAAUAGAGGCUGGGUAUGGU